GAUGAACGCUGGCGGCGUGCCUAAUACAUGCAAGUCGAACGAGCGAGAUCCAGCUUGCUGGAUUUAGCGAGUGGCGAACGGGUGAGUAAUACGUAAGCAACCUGCCUACACGGACUGGGAUAACACCUGGAAACGGGCGCUAAUACCGGAUAGGUAACGGAAGGGCAUCCUUCUGUUAUUAAAGGUUAGAAACACAAGUAGAUGGGCUUACGGUGCAUUAGCUAGUUGGUGAGGUAACGGCCCGCCAAGGCGAUGAUGCAUAGCCGGCCUGAGAGGGUGAACGGCCACAUUGGGACUGAGACACGGCCCAGACUCC
Molecule: ribosomal RNA, 316 nt
Filed under: uncultured Bulleidia sp.
Lineage: Bacteria; Bacillati; Bacillota; Erysipelotrichia; Erysipelotrichales; Erysipelotrichaceae
Description: bacterial SSU rRNA
Rfam family: Bacterial small subunit ribosomal RNA
Source: RNAcentral